This is a long non-coding RNA of Leucoraja erinaceus (little skate), 1303 nucleotides long. RefSeq lists it as uncharacterized. Lineage: Eukaryota; Metazoa; Chordata; Chondrichthyes; Rajiformes; Rajidae. The record is from RefSeq and is a predicted model, not a curated record. The transcript is spliced from 3 exons.
UCCCUAUCUUGGCCCGGAGACACAAUAAUCCUCUUAUUCGGGGGUCUUGCAAGAUUCUUCACUGCACAAGUUGAAGAAGAAGGAAUGAGCGGGGUCGAACAAGUUCUUAUACAGAGAAACUUAUUGUGCACAGUUUCUAAACAUGAAAUCGGUUCUGAUUUAAUGAAUGCAGAAAGAAGAUGAAAUAUUCCCCUUGGAAAGCUUGCAACCCAACGGUAAGAACAUUGAAUAUAUGAACGUUGAAUGUUCCACUUCUAAUUAGUACCUCUUCCUCUUUAUUUCCUUGCCUCCCCUUCACCAUCAAGAUCCACACACAUUUCUUCCAGUAUCUCCCACACUCUGUCACCCUACUCCAUUCCCCUUUCUUUGUACACUCAUCUCCCAUCUACAUCCCCCUUUUCUUUCUUACCUCUCUAUUUCUUUACAUUUCACUCCUCCUCUUCCCUCCUUAUCCAACAUCUUUUUGCCUCCUUUACACCUCUAGUGUUUGUCACCUCCUCCACUCCUUUGCCAAUCAAACCCCCUCACCUGUAUCCACAAACUGAAUGGGAAUGUUUCCAAUUCCGCAGCCCUCACACAGUGCAGUAUAUUCUUGUUGCCAUGUCAAAUGGUUUAAAGUUACUCACACGUGGACCUUCCGAUACAUCUUCCUGCCUCUCCUUACCAAAAUAAAAACACGCUUAUUUUUGGCUGCAAAGUGGGUCAGCUGGUAGAGCUGCUGACUCACAGCACCAGAGACCUGGGUUUGAUCCUGACCUCGGGCGCUGUCUGUGCGGAGUUUGCACCUUCUCCCUGUGACCGCAUGAAUUUCCUCCGGGUGCUCCGACUUCCUCCCACAUCCCAAAGACGUGCAGGUUUGCAGGUUAAUUGUUCUCUGUCAAUUGUCCCUGGUGUGUAUAGGAGUGGAAAGGAAAGUGGGGUGACAUUGAACUAGUGCGAACAGGUGAUCGAUGGUUGCUGCGGACUUGGUGUGCCCAAGGGCCUGUUUCCAUGCUGUACCUUUCAAUUCUAUCAACUCUGACAGUCAAUACAGGUUGCAAUACUCCUGCAACUUUUAUCGUGCAAAAGUCUAAAAUGCAGUGGAACUCAGACAAGAUCAGAAAUACUUCUGCUUUACUAAAGUGUCUCCUUGGCGACUCGUCUAAAUGUGAGACAACGGUUCAAGGCCUUGAACAGAGGCUUGGAUAUGAAAUUCAGGCUGAUAUUCCAGACCAGGAGAGUUAUAUUUGGUGUUUAAGAAGGAACUGCAGAUGCUGGAAAAUCGAAGGUACACAAAAAAGCUGGAGAAACUCAGCGGGUGCAG